Molecule: ribosomal RNA, 486 nt
Filed under: uncultured bacterium
Lineage: Bacteria
Description: partial 16S ribosomal RNA
Rfam family: Bacterial small subunit ribosomal RNA
Source: RNAcentral
GAUGAACGCUGGCGGCGUGCCUAAUACAUGCAAGUCGAACGCUGGAACUCUAGCUUGCUAGAUUGAAGGAGUGGCGAACGGGUGAGUAAUACAUAAGCAACCUACCCACGAAGACUGGGAUAAUCUCUGGAAACGGGGACUAAUACCGGAUAGGUAAUCGGAAGGCAUCUUCUGAUUAUUAAAGGUUAGAAACACUGGUGGAUGGGCUUAUUGUGCAUUAGUUAGUUGGUGAGGUAACGGCCCACCAAGACGAUGAUGCGUAGCCGGCCGGAGAGGGUGCACGGCCACAGUGGGACCGAGACAAGGCCCAGACUCCUACGGGAGGCAGCAGUAGGGAAGGUUCGGCAAUGGGGGAAACCCUGACCGAGCAACGCCGCGUGAGUGAUGACGGCCUUCGGGUUGUAAAGCUCUGUUGUAAGGGAAGAACGGUAGAUAGAGAAUAUCUAAAUGACGGUACCUUACCAGAAAGCCACGGCUAACUACGUG